UGGAUCCAGACUUUGAUAUGGCUCAGGAUGAACGCUAGCUACAGGCUUAACACAUGCAAGUCGAGGGGAAACGACAUCGAAAGCUUGCUUUUGAUGGGCGUCGACCGGCGCACGGGUGAGUAACGCGUAUCCAACCUGCCCACCACUUGGGGAUAACCUUGCGAAAGUAAGACUAAUACCCAAUGAUAUCUCUAGAAGACAUCUGAAAGAGAUUAAAGAUUUAUCGGUGAUGGAUGGGGAUGCGUCUGAUUAGCUUGUUGGCGGGGUAACGGCCCACCAAGGCAACGAUCAGUAGGGGUUCUGAGAGGAAGGUCCCCCACAUUGGAACUGAGACACGGUCCAAACUCCUACGGGAGGCAGCAGUGAGGAAUAUUGGUCAAUGGACGAGAGUCUGAACCAGCCAAGUAGCGUGCAGGAUGACGGCCCUAUGGGUUGUAAACUGCUUUUAUAAGGGAAUAAAGUGAGUCUCGUGGGACUUUUUGCAUGUACCUUAUGAAUAAGGACCGGCUAAUUCCGUGCCAGCAGCCGCGGUAAUACGGAAGGUCCGGGCGUUAUCCGGAUUUAUUGGGUUUAAAGGGAGCGUAGGCCGGAGAUUAAGCGUGUUGUGAAAUGUAGACGCUCAGCGUCUGCACUGCAGCGCGAACUGGUUUCCUUGAGUACGCACAAAGUGGGCGGAAUUCGUGGUGUAGCGGUGAAAUGCUUAGAUAUCACGAAGAACUCCGAUUGCGAAGGCAGCUCACUGGAGCGCAACUGACGCUGAAGCUCGAAAGUGCGGGUAUCGAACAGGAUUAGAUACCCUGGUAGUCCGCACGGUAAACGAUGGAUGCCCGCUGUUGGUCUGAAUAGGUCAGCGGCCAAGCGAAAGCAUUAAGCAUCCCACCUGGGGAGUACGCCGGCAACGGUGCAACUCAAAGGAAUUGACGGA
RNAcentral lists this ribosomal RNA (925 nucleotides) under uncultured Bacteroidota bacterium. Its description in RNAcentral is "bacterial SSU rRNA". It matches the Rfam family "Bacterial small subunit ribosomal RNA", at positions 1 to 917 of the family's 1533-position model. Lineage: Bacteria; Pseudomonadati; Bacteroidota. The record is from RNAcentral.